This 59-nucleotide ribosomal RNA is filed under the name Legionella pneumophila subsp. fraseri. The record is from RNAcentral. Lineage: Bacteria; Pseudomonadati; Pseudomonadota; Gammaproteobacteria; Legionellales; Legionellaceae.
UCCUGGCGACUAUAGCGAUUUGGAACCACCUGAUACCAUCUCGAAACUCAGAAAGUGAA